AUGAAUGGGAAUACUGUACAGUGGCGUUUAACAGGCUUUUAUGGGCACCCCAACUGGAGUGACCGUGCUUUGUCAUGGGAUGAUAUUCGAAAUUUGUAUGAGAAGGGCAAUCACCCAUGGGUAGUUUUAGGAGAUUUUAAUGAAAUUUUGUUAUCAUCAGAGAAAGAGGGAGGGAAUGUGAGACCAAAUGUGAUGAUGAGAGAUUUUCGUAAUUGUUUGGGAGAUUGUGGACUAGCAGAUAUGGGCUGUAUGGGUGACUUAUUUACAUGGAGGAGGGGCGAAAUCAGGGAAAGACUAGAUCGAGCGGUCUGUAAUGUGGAUUGGGCGAAUAAAUUCCCUCGAGCGGCGGUUAUUAACGAAGAACAUGUACACUCAGACCAUCUCCCUAUUAUUUUAGACACGGAAUAG
This 408-nucleotide ribosomal RNA is filed under the name Triticum aestivum (bread wheat). RNAcentral describes it as "partial small subunit ribosomal RNA". Lineage: Eukaryota; Viridiplantae; Streptophyta; Magnoliopsida; Poales; Poaceae. The record is from RNAcentral.